UAGGGAAUCUUCGGCAAUGGGGGGAACCCUGACCGAGCAACGCCGCGUGAGUGAAGAAGGUUUUCGGAUCGUAAAGCUCUGUUGUUAAGGAAGAACGAGUGUGAGAAUGGAAAGUUCAUACUGUGACGGUACUUAACCAGAAAGGGACGGCUAACUACGUGCCAGCAGCCGCGGUAAUACGUAGGUCCCGAGCGUUGUCCGGAUUUAUUGGGCGUAAAGCGAGCGCAGGCGGUUAGAUAAGUCUGAAGUGAAAGGCAGUGGCUCAACCAUUGUAGGCUUUGGAUACUGGUUUACUUGGAUGCAGAAGGGGAGAGUGGAAUUCCAUGUGUAGCGGUGAAAUGCGUUGGUAUAUGGAGGAAAACCUGUGGCGAAAGCGGCUCUCUGGUCUGUAUCUGACGCUGAGGCUCGAAAGCGUGGGGAGCGAACAGG
This 429-nucleotide ribosomal RNA is filed under the name Bacteroidota bacterium. Its description in RNAcentral is "Bacteroidetes bacterium partial 16S ribosomal RNA". It matches the Rfam family "Bacterial small subunit ribosomal RNA", at positions 355 to 776 of the family's 1533-position model. The record is from RNAcentral. Lineage: Bacteria; Pseudomonadati; Bacteroidota.